Molecule: ribosomal RNA, 427 nt
Filed under: uncultured bacterium
Lineage: Bacteria
Description: partial 16S ribosomal RNA
Rfam family: Bacterial small subunit ribosomal RNA
Source: RNAcentral
UGGGGAAUAUUGCACAAUGGGCGCAAGCCUGAUGCAGCCAUGCCGCGUGUAUGAAGAAGGCCUUCGGGUUGUAAAGUACUUUCAGCGAGGAGGAAGGCGGUAAGGUUAAUAACCUUAUCGAUUGACGUUACUCGCAGAAGAAGCACCGGCUAACUCCGUGCCAGCAGCCGCGGUAAUACGGAGGGUGCAAGCGUUAAUCGGAAUUACUGGGCGUAAAGCGCACGCAGGCGGUCUGUCAAGUCGGAUGUGAAAUCCCCGGGCUCAACCUGGGAACUGCAUUCGAAACUGGCAUGCUAGAGUCUUGUAGAGGGGGGUAGAAUUCCAGGUGUAGCGGUGAAAUGCGUAGAGAUCUGGAGGAAUACCGGUGGCGAAGGCGGCCCCCUGGACAAAGACUGACGCUCAGGUGCGAAAGCGUGGGGAGCAAACA